AUGAAAUAUUGUUCUCACCCAAAUUAAUUAUUUAUCAACAUGUCAAUUAUCAAAUAAAUAAAAUAAAGCCCAACCAAAUUUUAAUUUAUACAUGAAGGACCAUACAAAUUCAAAUCAUCAUACAAAUAUCAAAAGACUUUUUAAGGGAACAAAUGAUAAAUCCGGACCCAAUUGCGAAAUCUCGACCUUAUCGAUGUUAGAAUAAUUAACUAAUCAAGCAAGUAAGACAUGUUUCAGCACUCAUGCUAGUCAGUGUUCAACUAGAAAUUAGGAUUAAUCGAUGUUCAUAAAAAUUAGGGCUUUUAUUAUGAGUCAAGAUAGUAAGAAUAGCAAUCAUGAGUGUGAGGGAACAUACCAGAGAGGAACUCAUCCAAAAAAUUAAAAAAGAGCUGGAGAUUUAAUCCUUAAUACUGCAUGCGAAUUUCUACUCAUCGGUGGAUUCCGACAGAAUUGGGUUUUGCAGUGGUUGGGCGGGGCUGGAGGGGAGAUUCACCAGUUAGGCUCGCUGAAGAUGGUGAUGGAUUGGUGACGCGGUUGUUGUCGUCGAUUGAGCAACGACAAUGUAAAGUGAAGCGACAGAUAGAGGAGGACGGCCGCCGAUUUCGGCGGCUGGCUGUUGUGAUCUUCGGCGAGAGAAAAGAGAGAAGAGGGCGGCGGUGCCGGCCGUUAGGUGGUCUGCUCCGGCCGCGGCGUGCGAGUGAAAGAGAUAUGGGAGAGAGAAAAGAAUGGUGAGGAGACUGGUUUUGGUAAAAAAA
This 755-nucleotide long non-coding RNA is filed under the name Capsicum annuum. RNAcentral's name for it is "long non-coding RNA (CANN_LNC020786)". The record is from RNAcentral. Lineage: Eukaryota; Viridiplantae; Streptophyta; Magnoliopsida; Solanales; Solanaceae.